UACGUAGGGGGCAAGCGUUGUCCGGAUUUAUUGGGCGUAAAGAGCGUGUAGGCGGCUUUGCAAGUCCGUUGUGAAAACUCGAGGCUCAACCUCGAGACGCCGGUGGAAACUGCAAAGCUAGAGUCCGGAAGAGGAGAGUGGAAUUCCUGGUGUAGCGGUGGAAUGCGCAGAUAUCAGGAGGAACACCGAUUGCGAAGGCAGCUCGCUGGAACGUUACUGACGCUGAGACGCGAAAGCGUGGGGAGCAAACAGG
RNAcentral lists this ribosomal RNA (253 nucleotides) under uncultured bacterium. Its description in RNAcentral is "partial 16S ribosomal RNA". It matches the Rfam family "Bacterial small subunit ribosomal RNA", at positions 524 to 776 of the family's 1533-position model. The record is from RNAcentral.